Molecule: long non-coding RNA, 6098 nt
Organism: Macaca fascicularis (crab-eating macaque)
Lineage: Eukaryota; Metazoa; Chordata; Mammalia; Primates; Cercopithecidae
Source: Ensembl
UUUUUUUCUUAUUUUCUUUUAUUUUUUUGAGACAGGGUCUCCCUCUGUUACCCAGGCUGGAGUACAGUGGAGUGAUCAUAGCUCACUCCAGCCUUGACCUUAUGAGCUCAGGCGAUCCUUCUGCCUCAGCCACCUGAAUAGCUGGGAGCUGAGGUGCAAACCACCACACCUAGCUAAUUUUCUAUUUUUUGUAGAGAUAGGGUCUUUCUAUGUUGCUCAGGCUGGUCUUAAACUCCUAGGCUUAAGCAAUCUUCCCACCUCAGCCUCUGCACUGAGCCACUGUGCCUGGCCAUACCCUUUUAGUAUUCUUGAUACCCUAUCCUUAGUGAACUAAAAAGGAACCUUAGAGAACCAGUCUUCCUCCCCUUCAAUUGCCUUAAAAGGAGGGGGAACCCUCAUAACAAAUCUUCUUAAUAUCACCAGAGUAAGGAAUGCCAACUGCAGUUCAGGAAGAGAAUCUUCUCAUAUCAAGAGCUUCCAAACUUUGUAAAGGUACUCAGAAGUUCAAGCUCCACCCAACUAUGUGAGUUUUUACAUUUUUAAAAUAAGAUUUCCAAAAGUUCACCUUUGAUUUAAAUUGUUUUCAGAUUUCCUGCAGAUUUGAGUGUCUCUUACUUCUCAUUUGAUUUUUCCUUUUAUUAAUUGUGCCGGGUAGGCUUUUUGUUCUGUGACUAACGGAAAGUUCCACAUAAACUGAGUUCAAGCUAUGCAGGUGCUCACAGCUUUUGGAGAAGAAUGCCAUCACAUAUACCUGGACACCAAUCAUCCCAGCACAUUUCCUGUGGUGCCCAGGCACUGCUGACCACAUCAGUCAGACAUCUUCUCUGUUUCACAUGGCAGCAGGGGCUGAAAGAAACUCUACAAAUCCAAUUUGUAGUUUUAAAGAAAACUAAAUUUAUGAAAAUGAUCUCUAGGGGAAGUUCACAGUGGAGUGGAAAGAACACAAUCUUUAGAAAUGAAGACUUGAAUUUGAAUCUCGGUUCCAGGAUUUACUAGCAAUGAAAGCCUGGCAAGUUGCUUAACCUCUCAGCCCAUUUAAUCCUGCAUAAGGAAUCAAUAAUAACAUGCAAUCUACAAAGUAGCUUCGAGGACUGAAUUGCACACUGCUGGCAAGUGCCAGCACAGACUGGGGGCUCUUUUCACCCUCUUUCACCACUCUGCACAGAUGCUUUCUGGAGAAGAAAAUUCUAUGACCUACUUCCAAAAUCUAUUCUAACUCCUUCAAGUUAAGAAUUCUUUGUUGAAUUUAAAUACAUUUUCCAGCCAUUUAAAUAGUCUUCGUGGCGUUCUGUUCUCAAAGAAAAUUAAAAUGUGUCCCAAAUGUAUCUGUGUGUGUGUAUGACUUCAAAAUCCUCCAUGUCUUAGAGACUUAAAAGCUGAACAGUAAUGAUCUUGGGAUUCAGGUAGGAUCUAGAAGAUAUACAUGAAAAAGUGGCUGAACAAAUGUCUGAGAAGUUAAACUCCCCUUUACUGUUUUCUUUGUUUUCUUCUAUACCCUGACUGAAAAUGGACCUUUUUUUGACACUAGACCAAACCGAUAGGAAACAGCCUCUCUCUCUAAACACACAGACACAGACACACACACAGACACACAGACACACACACACACACACACAGUGUGUUAAAUAGAAAUCUUGGAUUGUGAUUGUUUCUGAAGUCAUAACAUCAUUUUUCAAAUGUUAUGCCUCAAUAUUAGCAAUCAUUCUAGAUAUUCCCAUUAUAACUCCCAUAUGACUUACUAAAAUGUGGUUACUGUUGGUAACUAGAAACUGAGAAUAAAUGAAAUAUAAAUUUACAGCCAGAUGAAAUAUGACUGGUUUACAGGUUUCUCAACAUUUUAAGUUCAACAAUGAAUCAAACAGCUGGCAUUUUUUUCCUAUAUGCAAAUUAGGCCUUUUUAAAAGCCAUUCUUGUCUACCACUUUCUUCCCUUCCCUUUUGAAAGUGUAGAUUUAAAUUCACAAGAACUGGAUGCUUCCUUUGCAUUUUUGUUCAUCUACUAAAUUAUAAGAGUUGGAUUAUAGGUGCUGAACUGUUAUGUUGACUUGGAGUAGAAACUUCUCAAGGACUGUGUCUUUUGAUAACAUUGUUCUGUCUUCCUCGACAUUAAAAUGUACUGUUCUGUAUACACUGGACAACGAGAAAGGGAGAAAAGGCACAAUCCACAGAAAAUCAGUAGAAGUAAAGCACAAUCUAGGAUGACACUUCUCUCCUUCUCUUUUCCUAUCCACUGACUUCCCUCAGGCUCCUGCCUUCAGUUUCUAUUAAUGCCAGCCCAGCCUCUUAGGAUCUCUCCUGUGUCUCCUGGCGGCUUUAGAGCCCUGUGAAAUUGUAACCCCAGCAUUGAUAAGGACAGGAAGAGCACUUCCUUUACAAUAGGGAAGAAGGCCAGGACGGUCGGUUUACAGGAUGCCCCCUGCCAAAGAGAAGCCCCGUUCAAAGCCCCAGGACAAAAAUAGGCCACCCUUUGGCUCUGCCUGAACUAGGACAUCCUGGGAUGACGUUUUUAUUACAUACACAAAAGGGUUCCGCUGUUCAAUUUGUUUCUACCCGCAAACCAAAGUUAAAAUAAUUUAUCUCCUGACUUGAAGUUGUUCGAGUUCACAAAUAAGCUUUCUGGGCUUGAAGCGAUAAUUGAAUGAGUUAUUACUGGAAAAAUUCAGUCACAAAAUAAUCUGAAGUUAACACAGUGAAACCUUAUACAGCACUGCAACUAAGUUCUCAAAUAGUUUUUUAAUCACUCAAAUUGAACAGGGGGGAAGUAAGAUCAUAUUCUUAAAUAUGAAAAUGUUGGACAUUAUUGUAAAACCUCCAUUUCUGUAACAUGUGGCAAUAAGUAAAUAAGUAGCAUUCUUUGGUGUGGUGUGCCCCAACAUUUGAAGUUUUUGCUGUUAAAAUGUCUUUAAAGAAGCAUAACAACUUUCAAACAAGAUUUUAAUAAGAAACUCCAAUGAAUAAAACAGAAAAAAAGAGGUUUUCAGUUAUUAAAAUUAUUUUACAAAAUCCAAUUUCACUACCAAAUUUACCUACUACAAAGUUAGUUAAUGAGAAUAAUACGGUUGCUUUGAUUUACCCCAAAAUUUCAAACUGGGCAUUAUAGAUAAUAAUAUUUAUGUCAGCACUGCAUAUUUUCUUUUUGUUUGCAGAAUACUGAAACAUUCCCAGUUAAUACAGACAACUAAUUUCAAAGAAUAACAGUUCUUAAUUUUUCACCCUGCCGUGUCAAGACAUUCUUCAACUGAAUAUAGGUAAUCAAAAUCUUUAUUCAAAGUAUGCACAAAACAACUUAAGCAGGCAACAAAUAUUAAUGCACUAGGGGCCUUCAAUGUACUAACAUUUUAUAUCUCAUAACAGUUUUUAAACAGUUUAUAAUUGGUCACCUUAAAACUAUGAUAUGUUCAUUGUUUAAAUAGUUUAAAAUGUUUCCUUUACUCUGCCUAUAAAUAUAAAUCACUUGUCUACAUCACACUCAGAAAUUACAUUGACUUUAUUAAAAGAGGUGACUAUAAUUUUAAUUAUGUGUCUGUCUCAUUGUUGUAUAUAUUUCAAAUUCUCUACAUUUGGAGCAUUGUGAUCUCAUUCAUAGGCUAACCCUAUAGGAGGCUUUGACCAUUUUUGGCCCUUAUCAGCCAAUGUCAACUCAGUCUCAGCUACUCGUCUAACAACAAAUCCUUCUUAGGUCUUCAUAGAAUCAGUCCUUCUUCCACUCUAACUUCAAGAGUCACUCUCCUUGGGAGAUGUGAUGAUAUGGGAGAAGGUAUGUACAAUGAGGUUAUUAAACAGUUCCCUCUUCAAUCCAGCCAACCAAGUUCUGUGUGACCAAAGGUGAAUCUGUAUUAUAAGCACCCUAGGCAGGGAAAGCCAGGUCUCCGUAGCUGAUUUAAUUCAGCAUGUCAUUUUUAGAAUAAACGUCACACAUGUGACAGAAUUUGGAGAUCCACCUAUAUGAAAAGCCCUGAAUCAACUGUCCUCCCAAUUAGUGGAGGAUAUCUGCCAUGGGGUUUUCUUCUGAGAGGACAUCCUUCUUAUCCUGCAUCUAACCAGGGAAGUAAAAUGCCUGUGAGAGCUGGCAAAUAAUCCAGUUAGGAGUCAAGCCACCAGUGCCCCCUUUGGGAGAAAAUAGCUCAUCUUCCCUAGGAGAUUGAUUCACUCACUUUCUUGGAAUGAAUCACUCUAUUUCCUAUCAUUAGUCAAAAAGAUCUCGUUGAGCAUUAGUUUCUAUCAUUUAUACUGUAAAAACAAUGGGGUUAUUUUCCCCAUGAGUAAGGAAAUUAUGUUACAACACUAAUCAAUGUUUUUCAAACAACCUCCCUCCUACCCUCAUCCCACAGAGGGAGGAAACAUACCCUGUCCUGACACUAUUCGCCUAACUGAACUAACCAGCAAUGAAACUAUAAUAACGAGCGAGACUGAAACUGCCAACUGGAAUUUUGAUGAUGUCUUCUUACUGAACCCAGCUAAUUCCCUACAUUUGAGGUACUGUGAUUAUCAAUAGGAUGGUCCCAUAACAGGCUGUGGCACCAUUCAUUCUUGACCCUCAUCAGCCAACAUCAACUCAGUCUUAGCUGCUAGUCUUCCUUUGGUCCCGUACCCAAGUUCCUCUAAGACUCAAGUCCUGGCUUAUGAAAGUCUACUCAGGGAUUGGCACCUGACUUCCAAAUCACAAUCUCCAACACUAGAUCUUUGCUUCCUGCUGCUGGGUCUGGUUAAGCUUAGUUUAUUGUCUGACUGCCCUCUAACACUGAAUAGGAUUCUUCUUACUGCUCAUCUCUCCCUUGAGCCUGGGCCAUGUACUUAGUUGCCUGCCCAAGUCUUCAACUGUCAAUUAUCUUUGGGACUUUUCUAUUCUUCUGGCCAAAAGGCCAAACAUUGGUGGGUCUCCAUUCCUGGAGUCAAUCUAAGGAAGGGGCAUAUUUCUUAUGAAGUUGGGCCUGUAAGACAGCCUUAAGUAAGAGACAAAGAGAGUCUCUCUACCUUGGCUUUAACCAUGGUUUGUCAUACUCGGAAGGAGCUCCUGGGCAGCACCCUCUGCAUAGAAAGAAGCUAAACAUGUGCAAAGUUAGAGCUAAACUGUGAAUACCAGGAAGGGGUAGAAAUCAUGGGUAUAGUCAUUGAAAGGGGCCUAAAAAUUCCUAAGUACAAUAAAUGUUGUCCUGCACUAAGUACGUAAAAAUUGCCCUCAUAACGGACAAAACCAUUAGGAUCACUGUGCUAAUGUAUGGAUGUUGAAGGAAAAGAGCAGAAGAUAAAGGCUCUGCCAGUUCUGGCAGAAGAUGAAGUCAGGUAGAACAGAAGCCUGGAAUUUAUAGACUAGAUUGCUAAUAUGUUCUAAAAUUGUGUUUAUGUCCCUUUUGCUCUCCCUUGGUAUUUAGCAAGUUCUAGUGGUCUCUGUUGUGUUAAUGGAAUGAAAAAGGGGGAUUCCCCCUUCAUAUCACCCUUUAAAAUGAUAAAGAUAAAGAUAAAAUGAUCAUCAAUGUCUCCUUAAAGUGGAGUAUGGGAAGAGGAACAUGAAGGGAUGUAGCCUCAUGGGGAAGGUGAAAAUGACAGGAAAAGAGUUAGAGUUAAGGUCUCCUGAUUUACUUUGAGAGAAUAUUCUCGAAGGUUCUAGGCUCUGUUUUAUUAUUAAAGCAAACAACCCCUCCUUCAUGUCUGCCUUAUCUUUGGGUCCUCACUGUUCCUAGUCUGGUAUAUCCUGCCAGAAACCAUUUAAGUCUGAGAGCGAAUCAGUGAAAUGCAGUGGGCGGUAGUGUAGUAGAGUAGAGAGAAGACGUGGCCUGAAUCAGGAACAGGCACAAUCAUGGGUCUGUUGUGCCAUUUCACAAAUGUUCUUGGGUAAGUUAAUUAACCUGUCUCUUUCUAUUCUCAUACGUAGAAGAAUAUACAAUCUUUUUCACAGGGUUAUUGUAAGGAAUAAAAGGGGUGAGGAUGGAAAGUGCCUUCAGCUAUCUAGCACAUAGCAUGAACAAAAAAAUGCUGGCUGUUAUUAUUUCCCAUAUAUAAAAAUUGCCCAGGGAAGAUGUGAUGUUUUGUGCACAAAAAUCUCUGAAUCAGCAUCCUGCAAGUACAGAUGGAAGUUACCGGGAAAUGAAAGUGUACUCU